CAUACAAUACAAGAGAAGAAGAAGGGAAGGGAAUCCUCCUCUUCUUCAAUAAAAAGGAAGGAAGGGCAGAGUGCAGAGAGAAAGGAGAUCCCCUGAUCCCUCUUCCUCGCCGGCGGCAAUCGCUCGCCGGAGUCAAGGUAGGAUGAUGGCGGCGGCGGGGCUGGAGUCGGCGUGGGAGUACCUCAUCACGCAUUUCAGCGAGUUCCAGCUGGCCUCCAUCGGCACCUUCCUCCUCCACGAGAGCGUCUUCUUCCUCUCCGGCCUCCCCUCUCUCCUCUUCGAGCGCCUCGGCCUCUUCUCCAAGUACAAGAUCCAGAAGAAGAGCAAUACACCCGAUUACCAGAACAGAUGUGUAGUGCGUCUCGUUCUCUACCAUGUCUGCGUCAAUCUCCCUCUCACCAUUUUAUCAUAUCGCACCUUCAAAUUCAUGGGCUUGAGGAGCACCCUUCCGCUGCCUCACUGGACAGUUGUCGUCUCCCAAGUGCUCUUCUUUUUUGUGCUUGAGGAUUUCAUAUUCUACUGGGGGCAUAGGGCACUGCAUACCAAAUGGCUGUACCAGCAUGUUCACAGCGUCCACCAUGAAUAUGCCACACCCUUUGGCCUAACAUCUGAAUAUGCUCACCCUGCUGAGAUUCUAUUCUUGGGCUUUGCUACCGUGGCCGGCCCUGCCCUUACUGGCCCUCACCUCUUCACUCUCUGGGUGUGGAUGGUCUUGAGGGUCUUGGAGACAGUUGAGGCUCACAGUGGCUACCACUUCCCAUGGAGCCCGUCCAAUUUCUUGCCAUUGUAUGGCGGCGCUGAAUUCCAUGACUAUCAUCACCGUGUUCUCUACACCAAGUCUGGGAAUUACUCGUCGACCUUCAUCUACAUGGACUGGCUGUUUGGGACUGAUAAAGAUUACCGCAAGACAAAGGCCCUAGAGGAGAAAGAAAGGACGAAGCAUCUGUAAAUUGUGAGCUCUUAUCCCUUUGCUGGCGCCUUAUUCCCAAUGAGCUUUCAUGUGUUGUAGUACUGAUGAUGAGACAUUCCGUUGAUUGAAGCAAAACGGCAGGCAGGCGUCUUAACCACUGCUACCUUGAUUAGGGCACAUGUAGUUGGGGGUAGAGGUGUCCUGCGAUUAAUUUGAAGCAAAAUAAAAGGUUAAGUUUUGCUGAGGAUCGAUGUUUGUUUGCACUGGUGUUGCUCAGAUCGGGAUAUGACGACUUUGUGUCUUGUUUGUUGGGAUGUUAGAAAUGCAAAAUUAUUACUGUAUAUAUGGGCCCUGGCUGGAGUGUUUCAGGAUGUCCCAAAUUGUAAACGGCCUGGACCUGCCUGGCCCAUCUAAAACGGGGCCUUUCGCUUCUUCAUUGCAGUAUCCAUCUAUCACUCACUUGGUUUUAGUUUCUCGAUGAUGAUGAAGAUGGUGUGCAUGCUUGCUGGGCUGCUACUCGAUGAUGAUGAUCAGUACUAGUACGCUACACGCAUGCAAAACAGUAUAGUUGUGUUAUCUACUCCAUUUUGUAAGUAUUCCAUUUGUCCUAGAAAGACUAUUAUUAACCUUUUUUUUUUGCUA
This is an RNA transcript of Oryza sativa Japonica Group (Japanese rice), 1552 nucleotides long. It is a transcript of the gene named very-long-chain aldehyde decarbonylase GL1-8, with no coding region annotated. The record is from RefSeq and is a predicted model, not a curated record. Lineage: Eukaryota; Viridiplantae; Streptophyta; Magnoliopsida; Poales; Poaceae.